GGGAUUGCCUCAGUAGCGGCGAGUGAAGCGGCAAAAGCUCAAAUUUGAAAUCUGGCGUCUUUGGCGUCCGAGUUGUAAUUUGAAGAAGGUAUCUUUGGGCCCGGCUCUUGUCUAUGUUCCUUGGAACAGGACGUCACAGAGGGUGAGAAUCCCGUGCGAUGAGAUGACCCGGGUCUGUGUAAAGUUCCUUCGACGAGUCGAGUUGUUUGGGAAUGCAGCUCUAAGUGGGUGGUAAAUUCCAUCUAAAGCUAAAUAUUGGCGAGAGACCGAUAGCGAACAAGUACAGUGAUGGAAAGAUGAAAAGAACUUUGAAAAGAGAGUGAAAAAGUACGUGAAAUUGUUGAAAGGGAAGGGCUUGAGAUCAGACUUGGUAUUUUGCAUGCUGCUCUCUCGGGGGCGGCCGCUGCGGUUUACCGGGCCAGCAUCGGUUUGGAGCGGCAGGAUAAUGGCGGAGGAAUGUGGCACGGCUUCUGCUGUGUGUUAUAGCCU
Molecule: ribosomal RNA, 489 nt
Filed under: Candida albicans
Lineage: Eukaryota; Fungi; Ascomycota; Pichiomycetes; Serinales; Debaryomycetaceae
Description: LSU rRNA
Rfam family: Eukaryotic large subunit ribosomal RNA
Source: RNAcentral